This is a non-coding RNA of Peromyscus maniculatus bairdii (prairie deer mouse), 1349 nucleotides long. Lineage: Eukaryota; Metazoa; Chordata; Mammalia; Rodentia; Cricetidae. The record is from RefSeq and is a predicted model, not a curated record.
CAUCCCCCAGUGACCUACUUCCUUUACCUGGCCCCACCUCCUGACAGCCCAUCAGUAGAUUAAUCCACUGAUGAGGUUAAUGCCCGAUGAUCCAGUCACCUCUUAGUGGUGCCCCCAGAUGGAGACCAAGCCUUAAAUGGAAGUGUGAUAAGUCUUUUGAGGGACACUUUAUAUCCAAGCCACAACAGGCAUCCAUCUUCCCAGCUGCACUCCAACCCUGGAAGAUCCUGUGGAAAGUAAAUCAGUCUGAGUAAAACUGGAGUCAAGCUAAAGAACUCCACCAGGAAGAGAGGUCGGCAUAGGACAUCGUGAGUGUGGCCUUCAUGGUGGUGAUGCCCAAAGCUGCAGGUCCUCAGGGUCCCGAAGGGAUGCCAGGGCUGGGAAUUUGGGUGGAGCUCCAUUUCAGAGGUGAGUACAAGCUCUAAGCCUGCCCAGUCACGCACACACACCAUCCUCUGGAUCCACAGACCUGCCUCUGAGAGGAUUCACUUCUGGUACUUCUGUGAAAGAUGGUCCAGAAGAGAUGAUGAAGAUUGUAAGGACAUGUAUCCUGGGUCAUCAGCCACCAUUACACUGCCUUGGGAAGAGGUCCCGCCAACGUUGAAGACGGCCCAGAGAGAACAGAUCUGAGACAGAGAAAACAGUAGUGCAGCUGAGCACCGAGAUCCAGCCUUUGCUGAGGUCUGCAGACCCUGCGCUCACGUCAGUCAAGCUCCCUUCACUGCCUAAGCCAGCUUAAACUGCAAACCCACCACUUACAGUCUUGAGAAGGUCGGUGAGGAAAUACGUAAUGCCGAACAGCAAGCCAUGAUGCUCCCAUCCUCUUCUUAUCUUCGUUUUGAGUUGAAGAAGCAAGGACACCUUCUCCCUUUAGGCAUCUUAAGGUAACUGUCAGCCACCUGCCCAUUGUCCCUUACCACUCCUCUUCCAGCCUAGUCACAUACUUGGCACACACACCAGUCCCAGGGCCACCAGCUACAGGGCCACCAGCCACAUGCUCCUUCAAGUUGGCUUCACAGUUCCUCAAGUCAUGCCCCCAGCCUUCAGCUCCUGAACUUUCUGCACCAGGGUUUUCAGAAACCACUCAGGCCACGGGACAUGACUCUCUCCACAUGCCGGGGAUUCCGAUAGCAGCUGAGGCGUGAACUGACAGCUGAGGGAAAGCAGGGUCCCUCAGAGAGAUGGCUCAGUGGUUAAGAGCACAGGCUCCUCUUCCAGAAGACCCAGGUUUAGUUCUCAGCAUCCACACGGUGGCUAGCAGAUGUCUGUAACUCCAGUUCCGGGGAUCUGGUGCCAUCCUCAAGCCUUUACAGGCGCGGUCAUGCGUAUGGUGCACAUACAUACAUACA